This 730-nucleotide ribosomal RNA is filed under the name uncultured bacterium. RNAcentral describes it as "bacterial SSU rRNA". It matches the Rfam family "Bacterial small subunit ribosomal RNA", at positions 27 to 754 of the family's 1533-position model. The record is from RNAcentral.
GAUUGAACGCUGGCGGCAUGCCUUACACAUGCAAGUCGAACGGCAGCACGGGGGCAACCCUGGUGGCGAGUGGCGAACGGGUGAGUAAUGCAUCGGAACGUGCCCAGUAGUGGGGGAUAGCCCGGCGAAAGCCGGAUUAAUACCGCAUACGUACUGAGGUAGAAAGCGGGGGACCGAAAGGCCUCGCGCUAUUGGAGCGGCCGAUGUCGGAUUAGCUUGUUGGUGGGGUAAUGGCCUACCAAGGCGACGAUCUGUAGCUGGUCUGAGAGGAUGAUCAGCCACACUGGGACUGAGACACGGCCCAGACUCCUACGGGAGGCAGUAGUGGGGAAUUUUGGACAAUGGGCGCAAGCCUGAUCCAGCCAUGCCGCGUGCAGGAUGAAGGCCUUCGGGUUGUAAACUGCUUUUGUACGGAACGAAAAGGUGCCUUCUAAUAAAGGGCGCUCAUGACGGUACCGUAAGAAUAAGCACCGGCUAACUACGUGCCAGCAGCCGCGGUAAUACGUAGGGUGCGAGCGUUAAUCGGAAUUACUGGGCGUAAAGCGUGCGCAGGCGGUUUUGUAAGACAGAGGUGAAAUCCCCGGGCUCAACCUGGGAACUGCCUUUGUGACUGCAAGGCUGGAGUGCGGCAGAGGGGGAUGGAAUUCCGCGUGUAGCAGUGAAAUGCGUAGAUAUGCGGAGGAACACCGAUGGCGAAGGCAAUCCCCUGGGCCUGCACUACGCUCAUCAC